Non-coding RNA from Triticum aestivum (bread wheat), 130 nucleotides. The record is from Rfam. NCBI's taxonomy places the organism in Eukaryota, Viridiplantae, Streptophyta, Magnoliopsida, Poales, Poaceae.
ACUCCCUCUGUCCCAAAUUUCUUGUCUUAGAUUUGUCUAGAUACGGAUGUAUCUAAUACUAAAAUGUGACUUGAUACAUCCGUAUCUAGACAAAUCUAAGACAAGAAUUUUGGGACGGAGGGAGUACUUU